This is a non-coding RNA of Equus caballus (horse), 159 nucleotides long. The record is from Rfam. Lineage: Eukaryota; Metazoa; Chordata; Mammalia; Perissodactyla; Equidae.
CUGACCCCACUUCGUGGACCCCUGACCCGAGGUGCCCGGGUGUCCUGGCACACACCAGUCACCACGAUGGUUCUUGUUAAGUGGCGGCUGAAUGAGCUGCAUGGCAGGAAGCCUUCUUGCUGUUUGCACAUUACCACAGGGACACUGAAAUUUGAAGGA